UGGUAGAUGCAGCCGGCACGCACCUCUCCUCUGACGGGAACCGAAGGAGCCGGUAGGUUUUCACACUUGCAGCAGAUCCGCUAAGAGAACGCGGGAUUCAGCCGAGAAGCCACGGGGAGCCCGAGGAGCGGAGCAGAGGCACCCAGGCAGCCUGCGCGGAGAAAUUGGAUCGGCGGGGACGGCCUGCAGCUCCCGCGCGCGGGGAAAGGGAAGAAGUCCUCCCCUACAAAGCAAAUUCACAAACUUGGAAGAAGCAAUUUACACAGGAUGUGCAGAUCUCAAUGGAAGGACACGGGAAACGUGAAAAAGCAAGGAAGUGGGACGCCUCCAAAGGAACCCAGUAAUUCUCCAGCAACAGAUCCCCAUCCAAAAGAAAUUCAAGAAAUGUCAUAUAGAGAAUUGUGGAAACUGAUUUUAACCAAGAUUAGAGGGAUUCAAGAGACUUCUGAAAAAGAAAGUAAGGAAAUGUCAACAGCAAUUCUGGAUAUGGUUGAGGUAUUUACCAACCAGAUACAGAGUUUUCCAGAGCACAUGGCAAAUGUGGAACUGAAGAAAUCACUGGAUGAAAUACAAAGUAUACUCGAAAGCUUCAAUGAUAGACUAGAUCAAGCAGAAAAAAAACUCUCAAAACUUAAAAUCUGAAGGCUUUUACUCAAUUCAAAUAUUUAAUGGGUUGUACUCUGGCCAUUCAGGUGAACAAAAUCUCCUGGGUGACAGGGCGAGACUCUGUCUCAA
RNAcentral lists this long non-coding RNA (735 nucleotides) under Homo sapiens (human). RNAcentral describes it as "non-protein coding LNCPRESS1:24". The record is from RNAcentral. Lineage: Eukaryota; Metazoa; Chordata; Mammalia; Primates; Hominidae.